This 254-nucleotide ribosomal RNA is filed under the name uncultured bacterium. RNAcentral describes it as "partial 16S ribosomal RNA". It matches the Rfam family "Bacterial small subunit ribosomal RNA", at positions 524 to 776 of the family's 1533-position model. The record is from RNAcentral.
UACGUAGGGGGCGAGCGUUGUCCGGAUUUAUUGGGCGUAAAGAGCUCGUAGGCGGCUUAGUAAGUCAGGUGUGAAACCUCCAGGCUCAACCUGGAGACGCCACCUGAUACUGCUGUGGCUAGAGUCCGGUAGGGGAGCAGGGAACUCCUGGUGUAGCGGUGAAAUGCGCAGAUAUCAGGAAGAACACCAGCGGCGAAGGCGCUGCUCUGGGCCGGAACUGACGCUGAGGAGCGAAAGCGUGGGGAGCAAACAGG